Paramormyrops kingsleyae is the source of this 3471-nucleotide long non-coding RNA. RefSeq lists it as uncharacterized. The record is from RefSeq and is a predicted model, not a curated record. NCBI's taxonomy places the organism in Eukaryota, Metazoa, Chordata, Actinopteri, Osteoglossiformes, Mormyridae.
AAUUGUGUGGUCUCCCUUUCUUCAUUACCAAUUUAUGCUUAACAUUAAAGUGAGAUUUACACCGUAUGAUUAUCCAGGGUGUUGAAAGUGUGGUCAUUAACAAGUCGCAUUACAAUCAGGACAUAAAACCGUAUGACUAACACGUACAGGCAUUAAAAACAGGCAAGGUUCUUAUCAAUGAAUAAAUGCAUGCGUGAAUACGCGCACUGAUAGCCUGAACGGUAACCUUAUUCCCUUUUCCCGUGGAUUAUUUCAAAACAUGUUCAGAAAAAGACGGAGCGUCGCAAGCACGCACAAAGAAAGCGGUCGGAAGGCUGAAGUUUUGCAAAAGCUUGGUUUAAAUAAAGAAGGCGAAUUGGGGAUCGGCGUUGUCAAAACUGACCGCGGAUAAACGCGUGGGGCCAACGGCAGUUUCAUCGAUUCUCAUCUGAAAUCUCACUUUUACUUGUCAUCCCGCAGCACCGCAAGCGGCCGCGUGGACCAGAGAGCGUCGCAAGGAUGUCCGACUGGCACGUCCUGGACCCUUUGUCCACUGAGCCGAAUCGUACCCAGAAAAGGAUAUAUUUGAGCAGAGGAGAAGAAGAAGAGAAGAAAUAAAAAAGCAGCUUUUGGAGAGAUUCGCUCUUUUCCUCAGCUUGGCAAUCUUCAAGUUAAACGGAGCGAAAUCUCUAAAAGCAGAGAUGUGCAGCUUCAUCGGCAGCUUGGCUGGGACUUGACUUUACUUCAGGGGAUGCCAGCGAUAAACUGCCCUGCUGCCGUGGCGACAUGGGUGAAAGUGGCCUAUGUGGCUGAUUCAUCAGUUCCCACUCUAGAGGGAAGGUUGGUCAGCCAAGACCCGACGAGACGAGUGCCUAACUGAGUCUGGGGAUGAACGGAAACAGAUGACACCUGCUGUGACCACUACUGCCCCGCCGUCACACACACGACACGCACAUACAUAAGCACACACACGUGCGUGCACACACCAAAGCAGGGGGUGAAGAGUGAGUAACACUCAGAGCCUAGGCAGUGAUAGGGAGAGCAGUAAUAGGAAGCCAUGUUAUGGCAACAGGCCUGUAAAUGUAUAAACAGUCCACGGGAUAUGAGUGACACUUCACAAACAUCUGGUUCGGUGAUAAAUCUGACAUUUUACUUUGUGCCGGGAUAUCAACGUCCAGGAGUGAGAUCCAGCGAGAGGCAGAAAAUAAACAAGCCAGCCUGGAGAGUGGGAGAGAGGAGACGCCAUUAAUGGGAAACACUCCCCGUUGUGUGGCUGCGUGUAACUGUAGCCAUUUAUUUAACAUUUCUGGUGUUUCCACCAUGCUGAGAUUAGACACAAUCUCAGCAGAUUACGUCUGGGUGUAUAUAUGUGACACGGCGUGGUUUAUAUGCAGGUCAUGUGAUGUGUGACCUAUAAAGUUCAUUUAACACCAUACUUGGUUAUUUGUACCUGUUACCCAAAGAGCGAAGGUACGGAAGUGAAUUAGCGCGACGUGGCAGCACUUUUGAAGGAUCUGAAAUGGGCAUUAAUGGAAUCCAACCCCCCCCCCCCUCCCCCCAAACACACACAUGCACACACACACUCGCUGUUCCCCUGCCCAUCCCUGCUCCUGGGCGAUCGGGUUUCCACGUUCGGCCCAUCAGCUGAACAUUCGGCUCUUGAUCAAUGGCAGGAAACCAGAGGAUCCAAUGUUAGUACAUCAGAGGAUGAUAUUCCCCUACCCCCAAGAACACAAUCACACACACAGACACACACACACAGAACACUUCUGCAAGUCUUACGUCAGACAGUAUAUUUGUUUUAUUAAGGCUCUGAUUUAUCACAUCAAAAUACAGUGAUAUAAAUGUAACUGUGAAACCUGUAAUGGGUGGGCACCUUGGGUUUCUCCCUGCGUUACGCCCAUUGCUUCAGGGACAGGGUCUGGAAAACCACAAGCCUGCAUAAGACAAGCGGCUAUGGAAAACAGAUGAGGAGAUACAGUAAAUAACAAUCAGCAAAUAAGUGUUGCCGUUGUUCUUCAUGAAGUGACUCGGCCUGGAAACAGUGGGUUUUUGCCAAAUUGCGAGUCCGUUGUAGAAUUUUUGAAAACGAACACUUACGUAUAGUGAAUAUCAUCGUUGUGCUUCUCUAUCCUGGGUUUUAUUGCUGGCAGAAUAUUUAUGAGUAUUAAUUAAGAUCAUGUGUAUCUGAUGUGUGAAAAGCUUGACAUUUUUAUUGAAUCUGGAAUUAUUUUUUUUCAGCUGUAGAAGAGAGGUCAGCCUCAAACAUAGCGGGGGACAUGGUGAAUAGGGUCAUUUUGUGACCUUGUUUGUUUUAAAUUCCUUCCACUUCACCGUGCCUGGAGUCAAACUCAAGGCAGAGAUGUUGGGAUCGGUUUAAUGUGCAUUAUUAUUACUUACGCAUUCUCUCUCUCUGUCUGUCAACAGCUGGAUAUUAGCGGCAAAUGCAUUGUUCUACAAUCUAUUUUAAAUCUGUCCAAAAUAAAUGGACAAAUCAUCAAAGUUUUACAAGUCAUCAGAACAUGCUGUGUCCCUUUGCUGUGGCUGUAAUGUAUGGAAACAUCGGCACACCAGUCCCGCCCCCACCCGGAUCGGGCCCCUUCCCCACCCAUGUCAGCCCAGGGCCCCCAGAGAAGUCAGCCCGCGCCCGAGUCUCGCCUUUUCCUGUGGAAACAAAAACCAAGAGGUGACACUGUUACUCCGCUCCACAGCGUUAUUUCACAAAAACCGGUGAGCAGCUUGAAUCUCACAGCGUCCCUUGGAUAGACCCGCAUGGGUCACCCGGAGAGCAAAGUACUUCUCAGUCUGUAUAAAGCUAAAAGCACAAGGCCUCUGCUAGACGCCCUCAUCAUCCCUCAGCUACUCGCCCUUCUGACUGACAUUCUCCCCUAGAGCUGAAUGGUUCCCUUUGGCAACGCCAGGUCUGACCAUCAGACAUCAGCAAUCUUCUUCAGGAUGAUGCUCCUUCAGCAAGCAGCCAACGACCCUGCUGAUGUCCCAGCAAACUGGCUGCCCCAUAAAGAAGCAAACUGCUGCUGUGUCUUAGUGGCAGAGAUGAAUCUUGCAUGGCGCGUCAAGGGACAACCGUUUUGAGGCGGGGAGACCUUCUGGCCAUCUCCAGAGGCGGCAUUCCUGGAAUGUGCUAGUAUCUCUGGGAGUUAUCCAGAUAAUGCAGAUGUUAUGGGACAAUUCUGGGACAGAAUGUAAUAUGUGUGCCACUCUGGAAUCCAGGCGGUCUUUGUCUAGUCGCAGGUUCCUGGGGAAAGCUUUUGCUAGGGUGAGGGAUUGGUUAGAGUGCUGCUGGUUAAGUACCUGCCUCUGUAGCUACAACCUGCAACAGGUUUCUUUCGCAGAACUCGUUAAAUAUUAACUAGAGUGAUGGCAUUGUGACAAAAGCAUCCUGAUAUUGUAACCUAACCUAGAGCGGAAAAGCCUACAAAGGCACUAAUUUGUCUUUUUAUGUUCAUUAAAAACAAAUAGUAGAUUAUUGUG